Molecule: ribosomal RNA, 510 nt
Filed under: uncultured Diversisporaceae
Lineage: Eukaryota; Fungi; Glomeromycota; Glomeromycetes; Diversisporales
Description: SSU rRNA
Rfam family: Eukaryotic small subunit ribosomal RNA
Source: RNAcentral
AGCAGCCGCGGUAAUUCCAGCUCCAAUAGCGUAUAUUAAAGUUGUUGCAGUUAAAAAGCUCGUAGUUGAAUUUCGGGAUUCGUCCAUUGGUCAGGCUUAACUGUCUGUACUGGUGUGUCGGAUUUCUACCUUCUGAAGAACCUUCAUGCCAUUAAUUUGGUGUGUUGGGGAAUCAGGACUGUUACUUUGAAAAAAUUAGAGUGUUUAAAGCAGGCUAACGUCUGAAUACAUUAGCAUGGAAUAAUGAAAUAGGACGGUACGGUUCUAUUUUGUUGGUUUCUAGGAUCGCCGUAAUGAUUAAUAGGGAUAGUUGGGGGCAUUAGUAUUCAAUUGUCAGAGGUGAAAUUCUUGGAUUUAUUGAAGACUAACUACUGCGAAAGCAUUUGCCAAGGAUGUUUUCAUUAAUCAAGAACGAAAGUUAGGGGAUCGAAGACGAUCAGAUACCGUCGUAGUCUUAACCAUAAACUAUGCCGACUAGGGAUUGGACGAUGUUAAUUUUUUAAUGACUCG